ACCUCCCAAGAAAAAUUUGUCCACUUCUAAUUAAGUCCUAAUUCAAAACUUAGAUUCUACCAUCUACGCAUGUUUUCACCUAAUCUAUAUGUAAAAACAAGCUACCAAAACAACAUUUUUGUUUCUCCCAUCAUUUCAUCGCACAUCUCACUUGAGAACAAAAAAAAAACACACAAAUUCACCGAGAUAUUUUACCCGGACAAAGAGUGAAACCAACGAGGCCAUUACAAAAUUUGGAAAAAAAAAAUUACCACCAGAAAACCGUUUGGCUUUCAAUUUCUUUCAUUUAAAAUAAAAGCGAGUGAACGGAAUAGACAGGUCAAAAAAGAAGAGAAAGGGGGCAUGCAAUCGUAAAAAAAAAGUUGUAUUUU
This 371-nucleotide long non-coding RNA is filed under the name Oryza brachyantha (malo sina). RNAcentral describes it as "long non-coding RNA (OBRA_LNC000077)". The record is from RNAcentral. Lineage: Eukaryota; Viridiplantae; Streptophyta; Magnoliopsida; Poales; Poaceae.